GCGAGGAUGGCGGAACUGGUAGACGCGCUGGGUUUAGGACCCAGUACCUUUGGUGUGGGGGUUCGAGUCCCCCUCCUCGCACCA
Molecule: transfer RNA, 84 nt
Filed under: bacterium
Lineage: Bacteria
Description: tRNA-Leu
Rfam family: tRNA
About the family: Transfer RNA (tRNA) molecules are approximately 80 nucleotides in length.
Source: RNAcentral